RNAcentral lists this ribosomal RNA (1188 nucleotides) under Triticum aestivum (bread wheat). RNAcentral describes it as "partial small subunit ribosomal RNA". Lineage: Eukaryota; Viridiplantae; Streptophyta; Magnoliopsida; Poales; Poaceae. The record is from RNAcentral.
AUGGUGGAUGUGGAGCACCGGAUGGCGGGCAUGGCUCCGGCGGCGCACGCGGCCGGCCUGCGCCGUCUCUCCACGCGGGCCGCGGCCGGCCCUUCCUCGGCGUCGGCCUCCCCGCGCCACGGGCUCUACUCCUUCCAGGGCCUGGCGUCGUCCGUGCUCUCGCACCUCCGGGCGUCCGGGGUGGCCAUCCUCCCGGGCCUCUCCGACACGGAGCUCGCCCGCGCCGAGGCCGAGAUGGGGUUCACCUUCCCGCCCGACCUCCGAGCCGUGCUGGCCCUCGGGCUGCCGUCAGGCCCCGGGUUCCCGGACUGGCGCUCCCGCGCGGGGCUCCGCGCCGCGUUCGACCUGCCCGUCGCCGCCGCGUCGCUCCAGAUCGCGAGGGGCGCGCUGUGGCCCCGGUGCUGGGGCAAGAGGCCGGCCGACCCCGACCGCGCGAGGCGGCUCGCUCGCUCCGCCAUACGGCGCGCGCCGCUGCUGGUGCCGCUCUUCGAUCGGUGCUACCUGCCCUGCACCCCCUCCCUCGCCGGGAACCCCGUGUUCUUCGUCACCGACGACCGCGUCCUCUGCUGCGGCCUCGACGUCGUCCACUUCUUUACCCGGGAGUCGUCCUUCCAGCCGAUGGACAUCUCCUCCCCGUUCGCGGCGAUGCCCUCUUCCGGCACGAGCACGCCGUGCACCCGCCGCAGCCUCGACGCGGCCUGCGGCGGCCAGGCCCCACGCUGGAUCGAGUUCUGGAGCGACGCGGCCUCCGACAGGCGCCGCCGCGACUCGUCGUCCUCCGAAGCCUCCACCGCAUCCACAUCCUCGUCAGGCUGCUGCUCGCCACCUCGGAGGUCGACGCCGCGCUGGGUCGACAACUACCUGGACAAGCUCGGAUCGGUGCUCAAGAAAGGUGGCUGGAGGGACAGGGAGGUGGACGAGAUGGUGGAGGUGGCCGCGUCCGGGAUGUUCGACGGCGAGGAGGCUCCGCCAGCCGCCGACGCGGAGGCCGUGCUCGACACACUCCUCCUGAAGACGGACCGGUGCUCAGACUCGCUCAGGCGCGCCGGAUGGAGCUCCGAGGACGUAUCGGACGCGCUGGGGCUCGACCUCCGGCGGUGCAAGGAGCCGCACCGAUCGGUCGUGCGAGUGCCCCCAGAGAUCGCCGCCAAGGUGCAGCGGCUCGCGCGGACGGUGGCGAGGUCGUGA